UGCCAGCCGCCGCGGUAAUACGGAGGGUGCAAGCGUUGUUCGGAUUCACUGGGUAUAAAGGGUGCGCAGGCGGCCUGUUAAGUCAGGGGUGAAAUAUGACGGCUCAACCGUCAAACUGCCCCUGAAACUGACAGGCUUGAGUUCGAGAGAGGUAAGUGGAAUUCCAGGUGUAGCGGUGAAAUGCGUAAAUAUCCGGAGGAACACCAGUGGCGAAGGCGGCUUACUGGCCGAUAUUGACGCUGAGGCGCGAAGGCGUGGGUAGCGAACGGGAUUAGAUA
Molecule: ribosomal RNA, 278 nt
Filed under: uncultured bacterium
Lineage: Bacteria
Description: partial 16S ribosomal RNA
Rfam family: Bacterial small subunit ribosomal RNA
Source: RNAcentral